UACUAUGUUACGACUUAUCUUACCUUAAUAGUAAGAGCGACGGGCGAUGUGUGCAUAUUUUAGAGCUAAAAUCAAAUCCACAAUCUUUAAAAUUUUACUAUCAAAUCCACCUUCAUUAAAAUUAUUUCAAAAUUAAAUCCGUUUAAAUAAAUUUAUUGUAAUCCAUCUCUACUUAAAUAUAAGCUACACCUUGAUCUGAUAUAAAUUUUCAUAAAAAUUAUAGAAAAUUAUUAUUCUAAUAAAAUAUUCUGAUAACGACGGUAUAUAAACUGAAAAACAAAUUUAAGUUAGGUACAUCGUGGAUUAUCAAUUAUAGGACAGAUUCCUCUGAAUAGACUAAAAUACCGCCAAAUUUUUUAAGUUUCAAGAACAUAACUACUACUACCUUAGUGUUAAAAAUUACAUUUUAAAUAAUAGGGUAUCUAAUCCUAGUUUA
This 436-nucleotide ribosomal RNA is filed under the name Paragastrozona japonica. RNAcentral describes it as "partial 12S ribosomal RNA". The record is from RNAcentral. Lineage: Eukaryota; Metazoa; Arthropoda; Insecta; Diptera; Tephritidae.